This 460-nucleotide ribosomal RNA is filed under the name uncultured bacterium. Its description in RNAcentral is "bacterial SSU rRNA". It matches the Rfam family "Bacterial small subunit ribosomal RNA", at positions 338 to 795 of the family's 1533-position model. The record is from RNAcentral.
CCUACGGGGGGCAGCAGUAGGGAAUAUUGGUCAAUGGAGGCAACUCUGAACCAGCCAUGCCGCGUGCAGGACUAAGGCCCUAUGGGUCGUAAACUGCUUUUGAACGGGAAGAAAUGUAUCUACGUGUAGAUAUUUGACGGUACCGUUAGAAUAAGGAUCGGCUAACUUCGUGCCAGCAGCCGCGGUAAUACGAAGGAUCCAAGCGUUGUCCGGAUUUACUGGGUUUAAAGGGUGCGUAGGCGGACUUAUAAGUCAGUGGUGAAAGCCUUCAGCUUAACUGAAGAACUGCCAUUGAAACUGUAAGUCUCGAGUUCGGUUGAGGUCAUUGGAAUGUAACAUGUAGCGGUGAAAUGCAUAGAUAUGUUACAGAACACCAAUUGCGAAGGCAGAUGACUAAACCGAAACUGACGCUGAGGCACGAAAGCGUGGGGAUCAAACAGGAUUAGAUACCCGAGUAGUC